AUGAUACGUAGCCGACCUGAGAGGGUAAUCGGCCACAUUGGGACUGAGACACGGCCCAAACUCCUACGGGAGGCAGCAGUAGGGAAUCUUCCACAAUGGACGAAAGUCUGAUGGAGCAACGCCGCGUGAGUGAUGAAGGGUUUCGGCUCGUAAAACUCUGUUGUUGGAGAAGAACAGGUGUCAGAGUAACUGUUGACAUCUUGACGGUAUCCAACCAGAAAGCCACGGCUAACUACGUGCCAGCAGCCGCGGUAAUACGUAGGUGGCAAGCGUUGUCCGGAUUUAUUGGGCGUAAAGCGAGCGCAGGCGGUUUUUUAGGUCUGAUGUGAAAGCGUUCGGCUUAACCGGAGAAGUGCAUCGGAAACCGGGAGACUUGAGUGCAGAAGAGGACAGUGGAACUCCAUGUGUAGCGGUGAAAUGCGUAGAUAUAUGGAAGAACACCAGUGGCGAAGGCGGCUGUCUGGUCUGUAACUGACGCUGAGGCUCGAAAGCAUGGGUAGCGAACAG
This 507-nucleotide ribosomal RNA is filed under the name Lentilactobacillus buchneri. Its description in RNAcentral is "bacterial SSU rRNA". It matches the Rfam family "Bacterial small subunit ribosomal RNA", at positions 276 to 775 of the family's 1533-position model. The record is from RNAcentral. Lineage: Bacteria; Bacillati; Bacillota; Bacilli; Lactobacillales; Lactobacillaceae.